UCCGGUUGAUCCUGCCAGACCUGACUGCUAUCGGAUUGGUACUAAGCCAUGCGAGUCAUUGUAGCAAUACAAGGCGGACGGCUCAGUAACACGUAGUCAACCUAACUCGUGGACGUGGAUAACCUCGGGAAACUGAGAAUAAACCACGAUAGAUCAUAGUGCCUGGAAUGGCUUAUGGUCCAAACAGUUUACUGCCAUGGGAUGGGACUGCGGCCUAUCAGCUUGUUGGUGAGGUAAUGGCCCACCAAGGCGAUUACAGGUACGGGCUCUGAGAGGAGAAGCCCGGAGAUGGGUACUGAGACACGGACCCAGGCCCUAUGGGGCGCAGCAGGCGAGAAACCUUAGCAAUGUGCGAAAGCACGACUGGGUCAGUCCGAGUGAUUCCUGAUAAAGGAGUCUUUUGCCUGUCCUAAAAGCACAGGUGAAUAAGGGGUGGGCAAGUCUGGUGUCAGCCGCCGCGGUAAUACCAGCACCUCGAGUGGUCAGGACGUUUAUUGGGCCUAAAGCAUCCGUAGCCGGCUCUGCAAGUCUUCGGUUAAAUCCACCUGCUCAACAGAUGGGCCGCUGGAGAUACUACAGAGCUAGGGAGUGGGAGAGGCAGACGGUAUUCAGUGGGUAGGGGUAAAAUCCUCUGAUCCAUUGAGGACCACCAGUGGCGAAGGCGGUCUGCCAGAACACGUUCGACGGUGAGGGAUGAAAGCUGGGGGAGCAAACCGGAUUAGAUACCCGGGUAGUCCCAGCUGUAAACGAUGCAAACUCGGUGAUGCAUUGGCUUAUGGCCAAUGCAGUGCCGCAGGGAAGCCGUUAAGUUUGCCGCCUGGGAAGUACGGACGCAAGUCUGAAACUUAAAGGAAUUGGCGGGGGAGCACCACAAGGGGUGAAGCCUGCGGUUCAAUUGGAUUCAACGCCGG
RNAcentral lists this ribosomal RNA (911 nucleotides) under uncultured archaeon. RNAcentral describes it as "bacterial SSU rRNA". It matches the Rfam family "Archaeal small subunit ribosomal RNA", at positions 1 to 921 of the family's 1478-position model. The record is from RNAcentral.